GAUGAAGAACGCAGCGAAAUGCGAUACUUGGUGUUAAUUGCAGAAUCCCGUGAACCAUCGAGUCUUUGAACGCAAGUUGCGCCCGAAGCCAUUAGGCCGAGGGCACGCCUGCCUGGGCGUCACACGUCGUUGCCCCCCCAUCUACUCCUUCGGGAUUGCGGGGGGCGGAUGAUGGCCUCCCGUGCGCCUCGCCGCGCGGUUGGCAUAAAUGCCAAGUCCUCGGCGACGCACGCCACGACAAUCGGUGGUUGCGAAACCUCGGUUGCCCGUCGUGUGCGGUCGUCGCGCAUCGAGGGCUCGAAAAAAUUGCCGGGUUCCGGCUCGGCUUUCAACGCGACCCCAGGUCAGGCGGGGUUACCCGCUGAAUUUAAGCAUAUCAAUAAGCGGAGGA
This 391-nucleotide unclassified non-coding RNA is filed under the name soil metagenome. RNAcentral describes it as "partial contains 5.8S ribosomal RNA, internal transcribed spacer 2, and large subunit ribosomal RNA". The stretch from base 1 to 122 matches the Rfam family "5.8S ribosomal RNA", at positions 35 to 154 of the family's 154-position model. The record is from RNAcentral.